RNAcentral lists this unclassified non-coding RNA (352 nucleotides) under soil metagenome. RNAcentral's name for it is "partial contains 5.8S ribosomal RNA, internal transcribed spacer 2, and large subunit ribosomal RNA". The stretch from base 1 to 120 matches the Rfam family "5.8S ribosomal RNA", at positions 35 to 154 of the family's 154-position model. The record is from RNAcentral.
GAUGAAGAACGUAGCGAAAUGCGAUAAGUAAUGUGAAUUGCAGAAUUCAGUGAAUCAUCGAAUCUUUGAACGCACAUUGCGCCCGUCAGUAUUCUGGCGGGCAUGCCUGUUCGAGCGUCAUUACAACCCUCAGGCCCCCGGGCCUGGCGUUGGGGAUCGGCGGAAGCCCCCUGUGGGCACACGCCGUCCCUCAAAUACAGUGGCGGUCCCGCCGCAGCUUCCAUUGCGUAGUAGCUAACACCUCGCAACUGGAGAGCGGCGCGGCCAUGCCGUAAAACACCCAACUUCUGAAUGUUGACCUCGAAUCAGGUAGGAAUACCCGCUGAACUUAAGCAUAUCAAUAAGCGGAGGA